RNAcentral lists this unclassified non-coding RNA (206 nucleotides) under Glomeraceae sp. RNAcentral describes it as "partial contains 5.8S ribosomal RNA and internal transcribed spacer 2". The stretch from base 1 to 71 matches the Rfam family "5.8S ribosomal RNA", at positions 84 to 154 of the family's 154-position model. The record is from RNAcentral. Lineage: Eukaryota; Fungi; Glomeromycota; Glomeromycetes; Glomerales; Glomeraceae.
GUGAAUCAUCGAAUUUUUGAACGCAAAUUGCACUUUCUGGUAUUCCGGAGAGUAUGCCUGUUUGAGGGUCAGUAAAAUAAAAAUCUGUGUUUUUGCUGCUUUUCGUGGUGACGCGUCGGAAUGUAGUUGUCUUGCCUUCGAUUAAGUGACUUAAAAUUGGGCAUGAUUUUCGAACGAUUUAAAGUUUAUUGCGUACGUUUGAGAUA